Molecule: long non-coding RNA, 4201 nt
Organism: Lethenteron reissneri (Far Eastern brook lamprey)
Lineage: Eukaryota; Metazoa; Chordata; Hyperoartia; Petromyzontiformes; Petromyzontidae
Source: RefSeq, a predicted model, not a curated record
UGUUCGGCAUCAAACGUCGGUCGGUCACGUGGACUUCUACAUCAACGGCGGCGAAGACCAGCCGGGCUGCCCAAAAACCAUCCUGCAGGGGAAGGAGUUUGUGAUCUGCGACCACCAGCGCUCCUCGUUUCUGUUCCUGGCGUCGAUGCGAGCUCCGUGUAGCACUGCGGCGUUCCCCUGCGCAUCGCGAGAGGCCCUGCGGGAGGGUCUAUGCUCCGACUGCAAACGUCGGACCAAUCGGGGUCUGUCCCCUGCUAGGCUACUGGGUAGAGCGCUGGCUGCCCCCCCAGCGCGUCAACUUCAGCGGAGUGGCCGCCUACGCAGAGACAUCCAACAACUCUCCCUUCUGUGCCGUCUACUACGAGGUGGAGGUGAGCGUGGGGGGUGAGGAGUGGUGGAGUGGGGUGAGUGGCCACCUGUCCCUGCGUCUGGUGGGGGUGACUCACGUCACCUCACUCACUCACCUGUCGAGCUCCCCGCUGUGGUUCGGCCGCGGGGAUUCGGUGCUCCGCGUGGUGGCGGUGGACUCGGACCCCGGUGAAGUCGUCACCGUCCUCGCCACCUUCGUGCCUGCCGGCGUGCGGCGCCGGUACCGGCGCGGGGUGAGCCUCGCGGUGAGCCGGCUACGGCUGGCGGGGGUACCUCGACUGGGAGCAAGGGAGUCGUUCUGCACUGGGGCUGUGACGCUGCUGGAGGACAAGACGGUGGCGAUUCCCGCGACUCGCUGCUAGGGGCGUCUGUCUGUGUGUCUGUCUGUGUGUCUGUCUGUCUGCCUGUCUGUCUGCCUGUCUGUUUGUCUGUCUGUUUGUCCGUCUCUCUGUCUGCCUGUCUGUCCGUGUGUCUGUCUGUCUCUCUCUCUGUCUGUCUGUCUGUCUGCCUGCCUGUCUGUCUUUCUGUCUCUCUGUCUCUCUGUCUGUGUGUCUCUCUGUCUGCCUGUCUGUCUCUCUGUCUGUCUGUGUGUCUCUCUGUCUGUCUGUCUGUCUGCCUGUCUGUCUGUCUCUCCGUGUGUCUGUCUGUCUGUCUGCGUGUCUGUCUGCCUGUCCGUCUGUCUCUCUGUCUGUCUGUCUGCCUAUCUCUCUGUCUGUCUGCCUGCCUGUCUGUCUUUCUGUGUGCCUGUCUGCCUGUGUGCCUGCCUGUUUGUCUGUCUGUCUGUUUGUCUGUCUGUUUGAGUGUCUGCCUGUCCGUCUGUCUCUCUGUCUGUCUGUCCAUUUGUUUCUCUGUCUGUCUGUCUGCCUGUCUCUCUGUCUGUCUGCCUGUCUCUCUGUCUGUCUGUCUGCCCGUCUGCCUGUUUGUCUGUCCGUGUGUCUGCCUGUCUGUCUGUCUCUGUGUCUCUCUGUCUGUCUGCCUGUCUGUCUCUCUGUCUGUCUCUCCGUCUGUCUCUCUGUCUCUCUGUCUGUCUGUCCGUCUUCCUGCCUGUCUGCCUGUCUGUCCGUGUGUCACGCCGGGGGGUGUCGCGGUUGACAUCUUGCGGAGUCCACCCGACACGAGCGGUGGACUUUGGCGCGUUGCUGCUCAUGGGAGAUAAGCGGAGCUAGUCGAUCGCUUCGGAUGCCCCCGACAAUUUGGGGAGGAGAGAGAAGAGAGGUGACGGGGAGCUCUGCAUGCUGUUAUGAGCUACCCGUCGGAGGCCAUAGGACUGCGAGGGGGGCGUCGUACAGAACGAGAGAGUGAGCGAGAGAAUGAGCGAGAGAGAGAGCGAGCGAGUAAGAGAGAGAGCGAGCGAGCGAGAGAGCGAGCGAGAGAGAGAGAGCGAGCGAGCGAGGGCUACAUAAAGCUCCGUUUAAAAAAAAAAAAAAUUUACGAAAUGAUGAACGAAACAAAGUGCCGAAUACACCGAGCAUCUUCUUGUUUCCACUGAUCGUAAAAAAAAAAAAAGAGAGGAGAGGAGAGAGGGGAGAGAGGAGAGAGAGGAGAGAGAGGAGAGAGAGAGGAGAGAGAGAGAGGAGAGAUGACACGCAAAUUCGUGAAGCGUUCCAUAUUUUUAAAUCCUUUAUAUUAAGUUCACUCGCUUGCUUGCUUAGGACCGUGCAAAUCUUUCGGUCGUUUUUUAACCCACUUCCCGUGAUCCAAUCGAGCUGACAUUUUCCACACAGACUCGUUGUGCGUGACAAUUAAUGUUCGUGAAUUUUUUUUCCAAAAUUUUACACUGUUUAGGGAAAACAAAUUAAAUAUUUAAUUACCAAUUGUUUAAUACUGGCAGACAAUCAUCUGACCCAUAGGUGGCAGCCAUCUCAAGCCAGAGGACGAGAGGACUCUAGCCGCCACGCAUAUAAAGGAUUUAGAGUGAAAAACUUUGUUUUUACGGGUUAUACUUGUUAAUAUGAAUCCCUGCAGUCACGAAAGCUUUAAAUCGAACCUACUUGCUCUACUGCCAUGAUUUGGAGAGUAUGAGAGUUUCACAAAAGCAGUUAACUCUCAAUUUCUAUGAGUUGCUGAUUUACCAUGCUUGCCAAUUAAAACAAAACAACAACAACAACAACGUAUCUUCACACGUGUAUCAUUAGCUGGUCUUCACUAUUCUUGGUUCUUUCGGUAAAGUCAUCACGUAGAAGGGAAGUAAUAAAAUAAUAAAAAUAAAACAUAAUAAAAUAAUUUUCACGACGUUUCGGCCACAACGCAAGCAGCCGUCCUCAGGUGGAGAACAGCGUCUGUCGAGGCGACAGCGUCUGGAUAAUUUUAUUAUGUUUUAUUUUUAAUUAUUUUAUUAUUUCCCUUCUACGUGACUUUACCGAAAGAACCAAGAAGAUGAAUCCCUGCGGUCACGAAAGCUUUACAUCGAAUUUUAUUUUUAUUAUUUUAUUAUUUCUCUUCUUCGUGACUUUACCAAAAGAACCAAAAAGAUGAAUCCCUGCAGUCACGAAAGAAGCUUAAAAUCGAAAUUAUUUAAUUAUGUUUUAUUUUUAUUAUUUUAUUAUUUCCCUUCUACGUGACUUUACCGAAAGAACCAAGAAGAUGAAUCCCUGCUGCAGUCACAAAAGAAGCUUUAAAUCGAAAUCUAUGGUCCUCACUCGUUGGGGGCCAGUGACUCGGUAACCGCCAACAUGUCGUCAAGGAAACUGAUUAAGCAGAAAUAAAAUCCGGUAACACAUUCUAAGUAAAGUCACGUAGAAGGGAAGUAAUAAAAUAAAAAAAAUAAAACAUACGUGACUUUACCGAAAGAACCAAGAAGAUGAAUCCCUGCAGUCACGAAAGCUUUAAAUCGAAACAUUCUAAGUAAAUAAAUGCAAUGCAAUAGCCUAAAAAAAAGAGGAGAGAGAGGAGAGAGAGGAGAGAGAGAGGAGAAAGGAGAGAGAGGGGAGAGAGAGAUGAGAGGGAGGAGAGAGAUGAGAGGGAGACAUCAAGACGGUCAUGAAACCGGUGCCAAGAGGCCCCUCUCACCCACCUUGGCAGGGCCGAUGUCCGAUCAUCUCGGCUAGCACACGCUGAUUACCACUACUGCCACUAGAUUACUGCCGCUAGCUUGCUUCCACUGGCUUAUAUAAUGGUGGUGAUGAUGAUAAUGAUGAUUGUGAUGAUUGUGAUGAUUGUGAUGAUGGUAAUGAUGAUGAUGGUAAUGAUGAUGAUGGUGAUGAUGAUGGUGAUGAUUGUGAUGAUGAUUGUGAUGAUGGUAAUGAUGAUGAUGAUUGUGAUGAUGAUUGUGAUGAUGGUGAUUACAAUGAUAAUUGUGAUGAUGAUGGUGAUGAUGAUAGUGAUGAUUGUGAUGAUUGUGAUGAUGGUAAUGAUGAUGAUGAUUGUGAUGAUGGUAAUGAUGAUGAUGGUAAUGAUGAUGAUGGUGAUGAUGAUGAUGCUGCUGACGAUGAUAAUGAUGGUGAUGAUGGUAAUGAUGAUGAUUGUGAUGAUGAUGGUGAUGAUGGUGAUGCUAAUGAUGAUAAUGAUGAUUGUGAUAAUGAUGAUUGUGAUGAUGAUUGUGAUGACGGUGAUGAUUGUGAUGAUGCUGAUGAUUGUGAUAAUGAUGAUGAUGAUUGUGAUGAUAAUGAUUGUGAUGAUGAUGGUGAUGUUAAUGAUGAUUGUGAUGAUGAUUGUAAUGAUGAUGAUUGUGAUGGUGAUGAUUGUGAUGGUGAUGAUGAUGGGACUGCAAGAUGGGGGUUGUCAAUACCAGCUCUGCAACAGCCUGCAGGAUCUGGCAGCAAGACGGAAGAGACAGCACCUGUCACGGCCCCAUCAUCAUCAUCACAAUCUCAAUAAAAAAUAAUAAGGCUCA